UCUUUUCGGAGAGUUUGAUCCUGGCUCAGGAUCAACGCUGGCGGCGUGCAUGAGACAUGCAAGUCGAACGGACGAUCGGGGCUUGCCUUGAUCGUUAGUGGCGGACGGCUGAGUAACGCGUAGGUGACCUGCCCCGAAGUGGGGAAUAACUGCCCGAA
RNAcentral lists this ribosomal RNA (158 nucleotides) under Chloroflexi bacterium RBG_16_70_13. Its description in RNAcentral is "partial 16S ribosomal RNA". It matches the Rfam family "Bacterial small subunit ribosomal RNA", at positions 1 to 155 of the family's 1533-position model. The record is from RNAcentral. Lineage: Bacteria; Bacillati; Chloroflexota.